GACGAACGCUGGCGGCGUGCUUAACACAUGCAAGUCGAACGGAAAGGCCCUGCUUUUGUGGGGUGCUCGAGUGGCGAACGGGUGAGUAACACGUGAGUAACCUGCCCUUGACUUUGGGAUAACUUCAGGAAACUGGGGCUAAUACCGGAUAGGAGCUCCUGCUGCAUGGUGGGGGUUGGAAAGUUUCGGCGGUUGGGGAUGGACUCGCGGCUUAUCAGCUUGUUGGUGGGGUAGUGGCUUACCAAGGCUUUGACGGGUAGCCGGCCUGAGAGGGUGACCGGCCCCAUUGGGACUGAGAUACGGCCCAGACUCCUACGGGAGGAAGGGGGGGGGAAUAUUGCAAAAGGGGGGGAAGCCGGAGGCAGCAACGCCGGGUGGGGGAUGACGGCCUUGGGGUUGUAAACCGCUUUCGCCUGGGACGAAGCGGGGGUGACGGUAAUGGGUAAAGAAGCACCGGUCAACUACGG
Molecule: ribosomal RNA, 467 nt
Filed under: uncultured bacterium
Lineage: Bacteria
Description: partial 16S ribosomal RNA
Rfam family: Bacterial small subunit ribosomal RNA
Source: RNAcentral